AACAACCAAAAAAUCAGGGAUCAUUUCUAUAGUUCGUUACUAGAGAAGUUUCUCUGACUGUGUAGAACACUGGAAAUCAUGAGGAGGAGGUGCAGCGUUCUCUCCUGAGCAUGAAGCCGGCUCUUGGUGUUGCUUUGCUGCAACUGCCAUUUGCUAUUGAUGAUCGAUCCUUCUCCUUAUGGGGAGUUGGAGGGAGAGGACACAGUCUGAGUGGC
RNAcentral lists this small nucleolar RNA (215 nucleotides) under Jaculus jaculus (lesser Egyptian jerboa). Its description in RNAcentral is "Small nucleolar RNA U3 (ENSJJAG00000004462.1)". It matches the Rfam family "Small nucleolar RNA U3". From Rfam's summary of the family: Small nucleolar RNAs (snoRNAs) are involved in the processing and modification of rRNA in the nucleolus. There are two main classes of snoRNAs: the box C/D class, and the box H/ACA class. Lineage: Eukaryota; Metazoa; Chordata; Mammalia; Rodentia; Dipodidae. The record is from RNAcentral.